CCGGUUUUUUUUCAAGAUAAAUUUAAUCCGACUUGACCUGAAGAGUUGAAAACUGAUGUUUGUUCUUUCUGUCCGUGACUAUUGCAGGAGUAAGAAGUGCGCGUCGUGAACUAAGUUUGGAGGUUAAUAGUGCCUCAUAUAGGUUGAGGAAGAAAAGUUGAAAACGUGGUUGAAUUAAAAAUAUAAUAGGAGAUUAGAUUUGUUCUUAAAGAUAAUUAUUGCUACAAGAUAGUGGAUUUAGAUAGGGAAAAGUGAUAAAAAAUUGAUAAAAGGUCCGUCGAGCGGGCCUUUUAUUGUUUCCCGCUAGAAAAUCCCGGAACGUGGCAUCUACGUAACAUCCACGCGGUUCGGAAGGCUAGGUUCGAGUGGUAAAUUAUAAGCCACGUUGGUUCCACCACAAUCGCCUGGAAGGUACUAAUCCGCAUCCCCUUGCGUCACUCGGGGUAGUGCGAGGAGAAAAACGGACAGAAAAUUAGAUUCCUGCUUCUGGGAGAGCGUCUAUUGUGUUUUCGUUUCACACCAUCAAUACCCAGCAAGAAAUCGGUGAUUGAAGGAACCAGAAUCACAGGUACCGCUCACCAGCCUUUCAACAGUUAAAACCACCCGAACCAACCCAGCGUCCGAUGUACGUUCCACCGCUAUUGUCAUCGUUAAAACCACCAGCAAACACCCAACAAAUCACAGGAGGUUUUCAAUCAGAAAUCGCCGUGUAUCCAGAUCGUCGCCCAGUGGGUUAUCCCGCUGAUCAAUAUUGUUAUCGCCUGAAAGCAUCGGAUCCGUAAACGUAACGCUGCAUCGAUUGACCUCCGACCGGAGGCACAGUUCUAGUAUACAUUAAAACCGCAAGUACAGAUUGAACCGUCACAAAUGUAGGCUAAUAUGUAGGGCAAUAAAUUGUUAUAGAUGAUGAAAAUUGUUAGAGUGAUUGAUUAGACAUUAGACGUUACAUUUGCUUCGUCAACCGAUUAGUAUUCGCAUUCCGGAUCCAAAAGGGAUCACCAGCCCUCGCCUCCGAUAGUCCACCUUGGAAGAUCAAACAUCCGUAGUAAUUUGACGAAUUUAUAAAAAAGACCACUUGAAUAUCCUUUCACCUAUGUGAAUCGUCUUGCGAUAGUGAUUAAACCCCCUGUUAACGUUCCCGUACUCUGAAC
Topomyia yanbarensis is the source of this 1151-nucleotide long non-coding RNA. RefSeq lists it as uncharacterized. NCBI's taxonomy places the organism in Eukaryota, Metazoa, Arthropoda, Insecta, Diptera, Culicidae. The record is from RefSeq and is a predicted model, not a curated record. The transcript is spliced from 3 exons.